This 468-nucleotide ribosomal RNA is filed under the name uncultured bacterium. RNAcentral's name for it is "partial 16S ribosomal RNA". It matches the Rfam family "Bacterial small subunit ribosomal RNA", at positions 28 to 507 of the family's 1533-position model. The record is from RNAcentral.
GACGAACGCUGGCGGCGUGCUUAACACAUGCAAGUCGAACGGAAAGGCCCUGCUUUUGUGGGGUGCUCGAGUGGCGAACGGGUGAGUAACACGUGAGUAACCUGCCCUUGACUUUGGGAUAACUUCAGGAAACUGGGGCUAAUACCGGAUAGGAGCUCCUGCUGCAUGGUGGGGGUUGGAAAGUUUCGGCGGUUGGGGAUGGACUCGCGGCUUAUCAGCUUGUUGGUGGGGUAGUGGCUUACCAAGGCUUUGACGGGUAGCCGGCCUGAGAGGGUGACCGGCCACAUUGGGACUGAGAUACGGCCCAGACUCCUACGGGAGGCAGGGGGGGGGAAUAUUGCACAAUGGGCGGAAGCCUGAUGCAGCAACGCCGCGUGCGGGAUGACGGCCUUCGGGUUGUAAACCGCUUUCGCCUGUGACGAAGCGUGAGUGACGGUAAUGGGUAAAGAAGCACCGGCUAACUACGUG